CAUAUGAAAUAUUGUCCAUAUGAGACCCAUAUGUUUUUGAUAUGAAAACCAUAUACAUAUCUUAUUGCAUUAUGAAAACAAAAUGGCGGAGACAAUGAUGAUCUGUACAACAUACUCCUCCGGGAACUGUUCAGAAUUAGAGCUACAUGUGAUUUUGCGCGUUUUGGUCUUUUUUAGAUGGAAUGGCCUAAAUACAUGCAGCGCGGGUCAUAAAUCAUGAGGGUGGAGUUGGGGGAUCUCCAUAAUAAAGAUUUUGUAAUUUUAACUUCAAACUAAUGAGUUUAAGAUGCGAUUUUUAGCCCCUUUAAAUGUUAAAACUUUAUUUUUCGGACAAGCAGUAAAAUGCAUAAACAGACAAAGCGGUUGGUGCGUGGGCUUUGGCAAAUUAGGGGAUCUCCCCUAAAAACAUUUUUAAGGCGAAAACCGUGCACUUUGAUGAGUUCUCGGUAUAAUUCUAUGUUCUGUUUUCCUUGAAACUUGAUACUGUAACAAAAACAAAAAUCGGACGAUUUUGCGACCUCUCUCCCCGCCCCCAACACCACCGAAGUUGCGGCUACGCUAUAUACUGCUAAAAAGAUCUUCUUUGGCAUCUAAUCGCUACAGAAUAGUUCACAUUUUGAGAAUAUUACCGGACUUUGAUCUAUGACCUUGACCCCUAACUGACCGGGUUCGAACCCGACUUGACCUGUUUUCUCUAGGGACAAUGUUUGUUUUGCAACAAUGUUUCAUUUAUUAAAAUCAGACAUCAGGUUAUAAAGAUAUGACUCCUCUGACAAUGCUCACCUCUCUGUUCUCUAUUUAAUAUAAUUAUAAAGAAUGCAUAUUUUCACAAAAAAUGAUACAUUUUAAGACGGUCCCACGACGAAACUGUAGGCGGUAAAAAUAUACAAGUUAUAUAUCUCUUUACACAAUGUAUUAGAUUUAAUCAUAAAAGUUAUUUCAUAAACAUAUCUUGUUACUGGAACAUUCUACAAUUAUUUGAAGUUAAUGAAAAACACGGACGUUUUUCCGUACAGAAAAUUACGGAAACACAGCUUUUAUCCUAAAUUACGUACAGACGGACGAACAUAUGUUGUUUGUUCUUGUCACAAACUUUCAGAUUUUGACAUUUCUAUCAAAACAAGUAUUUCCUUGCAGUUAUUUACCCAAAAUAAAUAUUUUAUACGCAGUUUUUCCUUAUUUUACGGCUAAUAUUUUAAGUCAAAAAGGUUAAAGUUCAUGCAGGAAAUGUUCCCGGUGUGUCCGUCGAGGAAGAAAAUCGUUUUUCAUAUUCGUUUAAACAAUAUUUCCAACUACUUAUUAAAAGAAAUUUCAGUUUUAUAACAUAUUCCUAACGUUUUUUAUAAUAAAAUGAAAUUGAUGAAUUUUUCGAAAAAAUGCGAUGAGAAUUAGCGUUAAUUAAAUGGUCCCUAUCGCCAGUCUACAGAUCGUACAGACAGACAAAACUUACUGAAACUAUUUAUUUCAGUAGAAAUAAUUGAUAUACACCAAAGCGUGUUACUUCAGAGCCUUAGUUGAUGAACUUUUUUUUAGGAAAAUAAGGUGUAUUGUCGUGCAUUCUUUACUUUUUGACAUGGCACCCAUGUUCGAGCCUGUAGGCCUACGACUCUUAUGGUCGGGUUUGAGCCUUUAUGAAAUAGUUAUUAAAUAGUUCUACAAAUACAUGUAAUAUUUAUUAAUACAUCUUUAGUACUUUUGUCAUAAUAUCUGAUUGAAAAUGACCAAUUUUUGAAAGCAAAAUAUUAACAACAUUUGAUCUAAAUAACCUCGACAUGCGAUAAUUUUGCGAUAUUUGAGCGACAGACUGUCGUGUGUCGUUGCUCGUUGUCGUGUGUCGCGUUGAAUGUCGUGUGUCGUGGUUAAGCAUUUUAUGUCGACAGUCGACAAUUCCACGACAUGAUAUAAUAUCGAGUUUCGUUGUACAUUGCCGUGUCCAAAUUAAUGAAACAGUUCAAUAUUUUUCAUAGCGUCAGCACUAUCUAGAUCUAGAUUUGUAAAGAGAAUUGAGACAAGCAAAAUACACUGAAACCGCUAUAAACUGGAAUCCUUGAAAACCGGAAACUCAUCCAACUUUGAGAAAUUUUGGUGUCGCAAUUGAAAAACAUCCAUGUUAACUCAUGAAGUUGUACAGCUAUUAGGCCCCUAACCCGCGUGAAAAGUGAACGACCUUCAAGGGAGUCCGACUGUUAAUUUGCAGUUACCGUUACCAUGAUUGCGUGCUUAAUUCAAUCUUUAAGUAGGCAUAGGACAUAAAUCUGGUAAAUUAAAGAUAAGUAACUGAAUAGGAUUAGAUAUUAAACAUAGGCCUAUCAGAUUUCCAUGUAAUUAUAUUAAAUAUUUUGUUAACUUAAUAUAUAGCAAUUAUUCUCAUUAGAAAAUCACUUUAAACAAAAAAAAAAAAAAAAAAAAAAAAAAAAAAAAAAAAAAAAAAAAAAAAAAACAUCUCCGCAUUGAACUUAAAGAAAUUAACUUUUAUCUGAUAGCUGUUCUUUAAGAAAGGUUCCACUAUACUGCCACACUGUGAAAAAAAAAACACGAACGGAUAUGAGUAAGUUUGAAAAUACAGCACUAAUUGCAAUAAGAAUACAAAUGUCAAAAUAUUUAUCAUAUGACGACCGACUACAACGUAAGUUACAAAGAAACAAAAACACGUUUGAUAACAUAGGCUAAUUAAAAAGUUCAGUUUGUUAUCAAGCAAUAACAGCGGUUUGGUGCAUAUAUAUGUAGCGUCUUUAAUAAAAUUUGUGACACAUAAAAACCUAUUUUUACCAUGUAUAGAUCUACAUUAAAAAUAUCCUAUUUCCGAACACCGUAUCCGGUACAGGUACGGCACUGAAACUGAAUAUCGGAUGGAAACCGAGUUGUUCCGAAUUGAGCGUUUGUUUACAAAUGGAUGACAUACACGCGAAAUUACAUCCACAACAAUUCAAGCAGCGCACUGACAAAUUACUGACAAGAAAGACAAAUGGCAGGUCAGCUUAAAGGCUACGCACUGACUGAAUCAAGGGCAAUCAUGAUAGAUCUAUGCGAUACCAUACUGAUUCCGUAAAGGCGAGCAGGAAGCGCCGCAGAUGAAGUUGUCAUCUACUGUAUGUUUAGAAGAAUGUUACAUCAUGUAAAAUCUACAAUGAAAUGUCAAGAUAAAGUAAUCUGCUGGUGGAAAUUGAGUCAUUCGGUUUAACAAACUUUCAAGAUGUGCGUAUCCAGGUGACAUUAUUUUAGUUGCUAGCCCAUUGAAAAUGAUGGGUACAGAUAAUGUUUUUACGCUCUUUGAACAGUAAAGAUGAACUAAGGUAAUGGAACUUAGCAUUGUGCCCUCACUGCCUAGCUGCAGGGCAAACCAGGAAUAUCUUCAUCCACUUUUGAUCAAGAAUCUGAUAGCGCCAUUAGCGGCUAUUUUGAUAUGAGCGGAGGUUCCACAGCCUGAGGCAGGACCUGGUGACCACCAACUCUCAGUCUCUUGCAAACGUUCCCUCAAGGGGUUUGACGUCAACGGAAGAUAGAGAAGAACUUAUCAUGGUGCAGUGCAAUCUAGCAGAAUCAGCCUCUCAUGUGAAUGGAUGAAAAAAAACACUGGAGCCUGAAGGGGUGCUUCAAAUGGUCCUGUUACCAGAAUAUUUGGUCACAGUUAAAACAAUUGAAUAAGAAUAGUAUAUAAACUUGGAAGUCUAAAUGCAUGCUUGACAUAUUUUUUGGGCAAGUGGAAAAAGCUGACAAUUAUAAGCUACAUUUACAGUACAGAGUGUUCUAAAUUCUACAUAGGCCAGGAACAAAGUCUGCAAAGAUUUAAUUGUUACAAUAGUGCAGAAUGAGAUACUGGUAAUUAACUGGAUUAGCAUUCAUGUCAGCAGUCAAUCAAAACUUCGGUGUCAGAAAUGCUUGAUAUCUAUGGAAAUCAGAUGUAUCAUAUCUGGCCUAAUACGAAAUAACGAGUUAAAUUAUUUUGAUUUUGGGCAAAGACUAAAAAAAAUUUUUGUUUCCGGUAACAUGCUAAAAAAAUUAGGGUAGGUAGGACGGAAAAAAAAUUAAAAAAAAUUUAUUAAGGGAAACUUUUGGGAAAUCAUUUUUGUGUCAAAAAAUGAAUACAAAUAAGGGGGGUUAUGCCUUUAGAGCGUCAGUAAGUUGAUUUCUAACAUUACUGGCCAUGUUUAAAGCAUAAUAAAUUCAGCUUAUCAACUUUUUAUUAAAAAGUUGAAAAAACUUCUCCAAGGCUAUAAAAACUUAAAGGGUCGGGCCAAAAAUUUAAGAUAGGCUGGGAUGUCGGAAACAAACAAUUUUUUACACCCUCAGCCCUUUUUUUAUGGUUUUGGGGAAGGGUGGUGGGUCCUUUCAGAAGGGGAAAUUUGCGUCGUAAAAUACCAAAUUGGGGAAUUUUUUAUAUAUAUAAAAAAACAACAACAAAAACACACAGAUUGAGUAAGAUCAAGGCCUCCCCUGGCUGUUUCACACUUUUUGCCAUGACUUAAGCCAAUUGCAAAAUCUUGGGACCAUUUCAUACCCUACUGUAAAGUGCCAGAAUUAGAAGCCAUUGUUUUUUUUAAAUCUCUAUUUCAUUUUAUACUUUAACCAAGCAAUUUGCCCUUGAACCAUUUUGUCCUAAUAUCACAUUGAAUCAAAAAUAGUUUUUAAUCUUGUCAUUAAAAUGUUUAAAUCAUUUUUCAAGAACAAUUUCAAAGCUAAAGUAAUUGCUCAAUGUAUGAAAUUAUUCCUUUAAUAGUUUGCAAUUUUUGAAUUAUCUCCCUUUAAUGGGCAUUUUUCACUACUUAGAUGUUUAUAAAGCAUUAAUAUUUAGUUCUUUAUUUUUGACCUUUGUAUUUCAAACUUAAUAUAAGGUCAUUUAUCAAAAAUAGGGUUGUCCUUUUUUAUUUUAUGACUUUUAAAAAGCUUUUUAAAUGCUUUUAAUUGCAUUAUAUAUAAAUCUCAAUUUACAAUCUAGUCCAUACAUAUUACUGUAUAGCGAAAAUACCACCUAAAGGUAUGAUUAGCACUUUGUUUUGAAGCACUUGGGAGGUGCUUUAAAAAAUCCAUCCCCAUGUAUCAAUGCUUUACAUUGGGCACCUGAAAGAACCAAAGGAACUGCUUUAGUUCAUUUGUAUCUCAAACUUUCUUCACUGAAAUUUAAGGAACGCGAGUGAAAUGCUGGGCGGACCGACAUGUUUACGCAUAGACUGAAAUGAACGCAAGUGAAAUGUUGGGCAGACCGAAAUGUUUACGCGUAGACUGAAAUGAACGCGACCGCGAUUGAAAUCAUUUCACGAUCGCGCAAAUUAUUUGUGAGCCGUUCGACUUAACAAUAUUUCCAGAUUUUUUCGUUCAUUACUUCCGCAAAUCGGCUUGUUAUUAGAUAAAUAUCCGCAAAUCGGAUUGUUGUAGAUAAAUAUAUCCGCGAAUCAGAAAUUCUGGAAAGGCUUUUCUUUGGAAAGGGAAAUUCCCGAUGACCGACGCUAACGGUAAUAUCUGAGAUGUUCCGAUUGCGGCGUUUCUAGAAGCGGUGUUUAGAACGCAUAUACAUUCGGACCUAUUUAUUCAUCGGGGGUGGAAAUUUUCGCUGAUAAAAACGACUUGCAAUUGGGGAAUUUUUUAGUGCAGUUGGGGAUAAAAGUAUAUUAUUUUGCCUGGGGAAUGGGGCCAAAGUUCGGCCCCAAAAUCGGCGUAAAAAAAGGGCUGACCCUAUAUUGAGCCUAUAUCAGUAUUCCGAUUAUUUUGAAAACAAUGCCAAGAAAUUGGCAUUUGUCACAAUUGUGUGUGAUAAUAAAUCAUUUUACAUGCAGGGUUGGAAUAAUUAAGCCCGCAUACUUGCAAUGUGCAUGUGACUUUUGCCCAAACUCAGUAUCACAAAAUUUUGCUGGUGCUAACUUAAAUGGAAUCGACAGCAUUUAUCAUUUCUUUGACAUUCUGUUUCGAUCUGCUGUAAAUAUGUAUUCAUUCAUGGUGCUUUACAUGAUACGCACAAUUGAUGAUGUUUUUACAUAGUGUGCAGCCUGGCAGAGGUGGCAGAAUCUGAUUUUGACUUGCUUGUUUUUGCCAAUUGCUAUUUUUAGCUCGACUAUUUGAAGGAUAGGGAAACUAUCCUACUCGCCCUGGUGUGAGCGUCACACAAAUGUUAAAGUUAGCGUACCACCCCAAAUAUUUUCAAAGUUCAUUGAGAUAUUGCUUUCAUAUUUUGCAUACGUGUUUACCAUCAUGACACCAGUCUGUAAAAAGGAGGAGGCAACUCUAUCAAGCAUUUUGACUGAAUUAUGGCCCCUUUUCGACUUAGAAUAUGCUUAUUGUAAUGUUAAAGUUUUACUCAUUGCUUAUAUUAUACUAUCAAGCACUGAGAAUAGUCGAGCGCGCUGUCCACUGACAGCUCUUGUCUACUUGUCCGUAUGAUAGUUAUAAAUAUAGUAAAUUCUGGUCAAAUUUCACUUGUCCGUACAAGUUUUGGGACAACCUGGGCAAUACGGACAACUGAAUUUGCCACCCCUGCCUGGUUACAACAUGAUAUUUUAUUUGUGUCUGCUUGUGUAUUGUGGCGUAAGAAGGUAAAUAUGAAGUAUUUCUACAAUUAUAUUGUGGAGUAAGUAAGUAUGAAGUGUGACUGCAGUUGUAUUGUAGAGUAAGUAUAUUAAAGAUAUAUUAAAGUAGAUCUAUGGUAAUUAUGAAUACAUUGCAGGGAUCACUUUUGGUCGCGAUUUCGUGAUAUUCUCGCAUUAUUUUGGUGAAAAUCGCAUAAAUUUUGCUCAAAUGCGCUUAAAAAUCGCAUCCGCGUGGCUGUAGAUCUUUUGCCGAAAUUGCAACUUUUCGCUGCAAUGCGGUCUUGCCGUUACUUAAUUUUCGUAUGACGUUCAUUUAGGCGCUUGAAUUUCGCUUUUAUCUCCAUAGAGCGUCCGAUGAUUAUGACUACCAGACAAAAAUAAUCUGUUUUCGCGAUGUUUCAAAAUACCACUGAAACAGAAAUUUAAGCAUUUGGAAGGGCAAACUUUCUGCCUCUAUUCGCGCGGAUGAAUAGCGAUGAGAAUAACAAGAUGGUGGAGAAACCGCCGGUGAAGUCCCUUCAUAAAAAACGCUGAACGCCCGAAUUUCUAAACGAAAUGGUUGAGGGUAGGGUUAUAAAUAAGUUUGACUUUAAAAUUGUUUUGACCUAAUGGAAGUGUAUCAAGUCCAGAAAGAUUAAAACACAACUGAACUUCAACUUUGACAAAGCAGCUUUGAAGUAAAAUCAUUAAGGGAAAAAUGCAUGUGGACCCAAGGCAUGGUUACAACUUUCAUCAACCUAUUCAGCAAUUCCUGGCACUGAAUUUUAGAGUUGUAAAUGGUGUCUCUGUAAGGAACUGUUUUGUUUAUUUACAAGAUAAUUGUUCUUACAAAUAAACAGGUGUUUGCUUAAAUUCAGUGUAAUAAAAGCUGUCCGCCGAUGUACAAUCUCAUUAUAAAAAGAAAAAAUCCCAUUCAUUUUGUCAAAAAUCUCAUUGAUUCAAGGCAAAUGGGAAUUAAUCUCAUUAUAGUAUCUGCCAAAAGUGAUCCCUGCAUUGUCAUGGAGUAAGUAUGAAGUGCGUUCACAAUUGUGUCAUGGAGUACUUUUGAAGUACAACCACGUUUAUAUCGUAGAAUAAGUAUGAAAUAUGUCUAUACAGUAUGUUGUAUUGUGAAGUAUAAAGUAGUCUACAGAUGUAUGGUGGAGUAAGUAUGAAGUAUAUCUAUAGAUGUAUGGUGGAAUACGUAUGAAGUAUGUCUACAGAUGUAUCAUGGAGUAAGUAUGAAGUAUGUUUACAGAUGUAUGGUGGAAUACGUAUGAAGUAUGUCUACAGAUGUAUCAUGGAGUAAGUAUGAAGUAUGUUUACAGAUGUAUGAUGGGAUAAGUAUGAAAUUUGUAUACAGAUGUAUCAUGGAAUAAGUAUGAGGUAUGUCUACAGAUGUGUCAUGGUGUAAAUAUGAAGUAUAUCUACAUAUGUAUCAUGGAGUAAGUAUGAAGUAUGUCUACAGAUGUAUGGUGGGAUAAGUAUGAACUUGAAGUUUGACUAUAGUCGUAUUGUGUAGUAUUUAUAAAGUAUGAUAACAGAACUUUGUGUCAUGGAGUAAGUGGCAGUGUGAAAUAUGUCUAUGUAGCUAACUAGUUGAGUAUAUAUGCAUGAGGUAUGCCAGCAGUAGUAUUUUGGAGUAAGUAUAAAGUACCUCCACAGUUUUAUACUUGAGUAAGUAUGAAGUAAUUCCAUAGCUGUGUCAUGGAGUAAGUAUGAAGUGCAUCUACAGUUGUGUCAUUGAGUAAGUAUAAAGUACACUCAGUGUCAUGGAUUUAGUAUAGAGUGCUUUCACAGUUGUAAUUUGUUGAUCAAGUAUGAAAAGUUAUAAUGAAUGUUUAAAGUUGUAUUAUGUAUAAUAUGGAAUAAGUAUGAAUUAUGUCAUCAGUUGUAUUGUGUAUCAAACAUUAGAUUUGUCUACAAGUUAUGUUAUGAAUUUUUUAUACUCACUAAAAAGCACUUGAAUUCUAACCCUGACAUGCACAUUUAUAGUACAUAUAAGCUGUGACUGUUUUACUGUUGGGCAUUAGUAUCAUGUAUAAAUUUGUUAAAGAUGAUAAAUUUUGCAGAUGAUCACAUCAUGUACUGUUAAUUCCUGAUUCAUCAAUGCCAUGAUUGAACAGCAAUUCACUAGUAAACGUUUCAUUGCAUAUAGAAACAAGCAACUCUGCAGUCUUCUAAAUUUCUUUUGAAAAGUCAACUUUGAUCUUAAAGUUGUAUGAUACUGUUUAAUAUUUUCCUUUUUGGGAUGGCUACCCAUUAGAUAAUCUUAAAAAAAGUCACAUUAUAUUUUGACCUUAUCAGUCUUGGCUUCAUUAAUCAUUAAAAGUGUUUUGAGAAGAAAAUGGAUAUAAUUGCACAAAAUUUGAAUAGCCUUAGAAGUUAAUAUCAGGGUCUGAACACAGACUAAUGUUUAUUUUUCUGUUUUAGAUAAAUUGUUCUUCAACAAACAAUAAUUACAUUUUGUUUUUGACAUAGCUUUACUGUUUAAACUUGUUAGAUAUUGUAUGUCACUAUAGACACACUUAUUAUUUUAAGAAUCCUUGUUAAAGAGAUUUGAGACAAAUUGUUUAUAGUGUAAUAGUAACAUGAUAUCUACAGUCUGAUGUAUUACUAUACACCACAGGCAUUGGGUUAUAAUUACAUGUAUUGUCAAAAUAUAUCAUAUCAGAUUGUUUUUUUUUUGUUAAUCUUGAGAAAUAUGCACAAGUUGUGCUGUCGAAAUAUUGCUUAACUUUUUUAGUGCAGCAUUACUAUGCAAAAAGAACUGAAACAAAGCAUAUUGUGAAGUCAAUGAUUCAGUUUUCAUCAAACAUAUUUAAGAAACAGUUUACUAAAUCUUCAAAGAUCAUUAAGUUGCAUUUCAAUACUAUUUUCAAAAGAAUGUAUUUUCUGUUGUGAAUUAUUUAAAGAAGUUGUUGAGAAUCUUUUUGUGAUUGCUUUCUUCUAUUUAAUAAGGCUCCCAUGUUAACAUGUUUAAAUGAGUCCUUGUCAUGUUUGACUGGUAAAUGUUUACAAAAUUUCUAUCCAGUUAAACAAAACGAUCAUCCUUAGAACAACCAUGUCUUUCUGAUUGAAACAUGUUUUCUGUCUGUUAAAGAUAUUAGAUUUGUCUUUUGCAGUAAACAGGGAGUCGCCGUAUUUGCCCACUUGUUCGGUUCAAAGAUUGAUUAAUUUCAAAAAUGGAUUGCUCCAUUUUGAAAUACAUUUGCAUCAAACAAUAGGGAAAAUGUUCCUGGAUUAUUUUCUUUUAACUCACAACCUGAGCCAAUGGCUCAGGAUGACCUUUUGUGACCGCUCAAUGCCUGUUGUGUGUCAACAAUUUCUAAAAAAUCUUUCUGAAAACCAUUGGGCAGAUUUACACCAAACUUCACAGGAAUGAUCCUUUCAGGCAGGAACAUUUUUAAAGUUUUUCCCUUAUACUUUAGCCUGUAGCAUCCUUUAUUUAUUGAUUGACCUGUCCCAUUUUUUAGCUUGACUGUUCAGAAUGUAGGUAGAGUUAUUUGACUUAAGAUAGUUAUGCAUGUUUGAUAAAAUAAAACCUGAAUUUGACGUACAGAAAUGAAAGUCAUUUUGUAACGUAACACUUGGUCUGUGUACCUGAAGCUUGUCUUGAACACAACACGUUACGACAGUUCUAACAUUUAUUUUCUACGAAGAGCAAUGCACAGUAACUUAUAAAUGUUCAGUCUAAUUUCAUGAAUAUAAUCAAUGUUCAAUAAGUCUUUUAAAACAGUUCUGUUUACUGAUCUAUUUAACAACAUUUCUUAAUUAUAAAUAUAUUUCAAACUAGCUCUUAACAAAGCUUAUUAAGUUUCAGCUCAUGAGAGCGGGAACAAGUCCCUUAGCCCGCCACUUGGGCAGUCUCUCCCCCGAUCACAGAGUAUAUUGAGUUUAUAAAGUGUUAUACAGGAAAACACAGCAGACACAUUAUUUCACUUCCUGUCCACCUGGUAAUUAAACUUCGAUAUUAACUAAUGUUUUACACCCCGAAGCUACUGCAAAGUUGACAAGUUUCUUCUGAUUUUUGAAAUGUACAGUUAAAAUCUUAAUUGUCCGAAAGAAAUACCAAAAUAGAAAAUUAUAAACAUAGGUAUUACAUUACAAUUUUUAGCUCCAGUAUUCGGAGAAUAGGGGAACUAUUCUACUCGCCCCGUCGUUGGUGCGGCUUAGCUUUCUUGGUUAAAGUUUUUUGUCAACCUUCGUUUUUCUGUCAUAUCUUUGUUACUAUUGCUUAUAUCUUACUGUAACUUCACAUAAACAUUUUCCAGUAUACAAUCAAAGUAUGUGUAGGGGCUGAGACCAUUAUACCCAAGGUCAAUGUCACCAAGGUGUUAUACUUAGGUUAUUUUAAAGGUUAAAGUUUUUUGGCAGGAAGAAGGAAGGGUAUAUUGUUUUGCAGAUGUCGGUCAGUCGGUAUGUAGACCAAUCCGUUUCCGGAUGAUAACUUAAGAACGCUUGGGUGUAGGAUCAUGAAAGUUAUAUGGUGGUUGGUCAAAACCAGCAGAUGACCCCUAUUGAUUUUGAGAUUAGUAGGUCAAAGGUCAAGGUCACUAUGGCCCAGAUCAUUUAAACUUCGGAUGAUAACUCAAGAACACUUGGGCCUAGGAUCAUGAAAGUUGAUAGGGAGGUAGGUCAUGACCAGCAGAUGACCCCUAUUGAUUUUGAGGUCAAAGGUUGAGGUCACAGUGACCAGGAACAGUUCAAUGUUUUCUGGAUGAUAACUCAAGAAUGCUUUCGCCUAGGUUCAUAAAGUUGAUAGGGUGGUUGAUCAUAACCAGCAUAUGACCCCUAAAGAUUUUGAGAUCAAUAGGUCAAAGGUCAAGGUCAAAGUGACCCAGAACAGUUAAAUGGUUUCAGGGUGAUAACUUGAGAACAAUUUGGCCUAGGAUCAUGAAAAUUGAUAGGGAGGUUGAUCAUGACCAGCAGGUGGCACCUAUUGAUUUUGAGGUCAUUAGGUCAAUGGUCAAGGUCACAGUGACCAGGAACAGUUAAAAUGUGUAUGGAUGAAAACUUGAGAAUGCUUGGGCCUAUGACCCCUAUUGAUUUUGAGGUCAAAGGUCAAGGUCACCUUGACCAAGAACAGUAGCACUUUUAUGCUCAGUGACUAAAUAAUUUCUGUCCCUUGUGCAAUUACUGAAUGCAUCAAGGGGGCAUUUCGUGUUCUACAAGCUCUUGUUCUCUCAUAUCUUUGUUAAUAUUCCUUAUAUCUUACUGUUACUUCACAUAAACAUUGUCCAGUAUAAAAACAAAGUGUAUGUGUAGGGGCUGAGUCUGUUAUACCGAAGUUCAAGGUCACCAAGGUGUUAUACUAAGGUUAUUUUUAAGGUUAAAGUUUUUUGGCAACAUUUGUUUUUCUGUCAUGUCUUUGUUGCUGUUGCUUAUAUCUUACUGUAACUUUACAUAAACAUUAUCCAGCAUACAAACAAAGUAUGUACAGGGGCUGGGCCAAUUAUAUCCAAGGUCAAGGUCAUCAAGGUGUUAUAUUUAGGUUAUUUUAAAUGUUAAAGUUUUUUGGCAACCUUUGUUUUUCUGUCAUAUCUUUGUUAUUAUUGCUUAUAUCUUACUGUAAGUUCACAUAAAGCAUUGUCCAGCAUACAAAGUAUGUGCAAGGACUGGGCCCAUUAUACCAAAGGUCAAGGUCACAAAGUUGUUAUACUUGGAAUUAUUUUCAUGUUAAUUUUUUUCGAAAGCUUCGUUUAUAGACAUAUCUUUGGUGCUUUAAAAGAUGACUUGAAAUUAAAAGCUGUUGUUUAUAAUCAUCGUCAUCUGCAUGUGUGGUAACAAUCCCUGUAACUCUUGAUUUGUAUUUUUGACCAAAUUAUGCCCCUUUCAUACUUAAAUUUUUAUCUGUACCUCUCUGAUUAUUUGAUAUUUUUAACACAGACUCAUGCUAUGAUGCAAUAUUCAUCCACAGUUCUAGUUGGUCUUGUCAGUAACUUUACUAUAUUCAAGUAACUUGCCACAGUCACCAUAACAAAUUAAUUUGUUGCAUGUAAGAUUCAGACCUCUAACUCAAGGUUAAGGUCACCUUUAGAGAUGAAACAUUUUGGUAUUUUUUUAUCUGGUCUGUUACUUUUUUAUGCAUUGGUGUAUAUCUAAAUAACUUUGCAUACAUAAUAACCAUUACAAGACAUUGUGUCAUGUACAAAGGUCACAGACACUUAAGUUACCUUUUUUGUGUACAUGAAAUUUCUUCUCUUUUAUAUGAUAAAAGUACAAUACAUGUGCUUUAUGUCAGUUUUCCCACUAAUUUAAAAAUGAAAUUAUGUUUAUAAUUAUUAAAUAAGGUGAUUGUAAUGAUACAUGUAGAUAUAAAAAGCUAUUGAUAAUUGUAAAAAUCCAGAAUGCAAAACCCAAACACAGGAUAUAACUUUAUGGUAUAUAAUUAUAGGUAAAUAGAGAAUUACUUUAGUUGCAAUACCUUUAUAAUAGGUUGAUAUGUAGUGCAGUUCUGCAUUGAAAAAUAGUAGAAUUAACUUUUUUCUGGUGUGUUACUUAAAAACAAAGUUUUGUAGUAGCAUGUAAAUGUCAUGCAUUUCAUUUAUUAGCUCACUCUGAGCCUUUGCUCACUGUCCGGUGUCAGUCCACACUUUCCAUUAAACAACAUCUCCUAAACCACCAUGCUAAUUUUGAUGAAACUUCACAGGGAUGAUCCUUGGAUGAUCUUCUUCAAAAAAUUGUUCAAAGAAUUGAAUUCCGUAUAGAACUCUGGUUGCCAUGGCAACCGAAAAGAAAAACUUUAAAAAUCUUCCUAUCUAAACCACAAGGCCUAGGGCUUUGAUAUUUGGUAUGUAGCAUCAUCUAACAACAAUAUGGGCCUCUACCAAGAUUGUUCAAAUUACCCCCCUAAGGUCAAAUAUGGCCCCGGGGGUCACAUGGUUUAUAUAGACUUAUAUAGGAAAAACUUGAGAAUCAUCUUGUCCAAAACUAUAAGACCUAAGGCUUUGAUAUUUAGUAUGUAGCAUCAUCAUUCUAGUGGUCCUCUACCAAGAUUGUUCAAAUUAUCACCCUAGGAUAUAAUAUGGCCCCGCCUUUGGGGUGGGGGUCACAUUAUUUCUAUAGACUUAUAUAGGGAAAAUUUUUGAAAAUCUUCUCGUCAAAAACAAAAGGGCCUAGGCCUUUGAUAUUUGGUAUGUAGCAUCAUAGAGUUGGCCUUUAAAAAGAUUGUUUAAAUAAUUCCCCUAGGAUGAAAUAUGGCCCCGCCCAGGGGGUCACAUGGUUUUGUAUAGACUUGUAUAGGAAAAAAACUUUUUGUCUGAAACCACAACACCUAGGCUUUAGAUAUUUAGUAUGAAGAAUUGCCUUGUGAUCCUCUACCAAGAUUGUUCAAAUUAUUCCCCUGGGGUGAAAAAAGGCCCUGCCACGGCGUUCCCUAGUUUUACAUAGACAUAUAUAGGAAUUUUUUUUUUAAAUCUUCUUGUCUGAAAGUCCAAGGCCUAUGCCUUUGAUAUUUUGUUUGUAUCAUUACCUAGUUGAUCUCUAACAAGAUUGUUUGAAAUAUGUCCCAUGGGUGAAAAGAGGCCCUGCCCCAGGGGUCUGUUGAUGAGUUAUAUAGGAAAAAAUACUUCAAAAAUUAUCUGAUUAUAUUUCCUAGACUGUUUAAUUAUAUUUAAAAGAUGACCCCAACUCAUAACACCCGACUGUGACCUUGACCUACUGACCUACUCUUGUUUUUAGCUCACCUGAGCACGAAGUGCUCGGGGUGAGCUAUUGUAAUCGCUCACCGUCCGUCCGUGAGGCGUCCGUCCAUCCACACUUUCCUUUAAACAUCUCCUCCUAAACCAACAGGCCAAUUUUAAUGAAACUUCACAGGGAUGUUCCUUGGAUGGUCUUCUUUAAAAAAAUUUCAAAGAAUUGAAUUCCAUGCAGAACUCUGGUUGCCAUGGCAACCGAAAGGAAAAACUUUAAAAACCUUCUUCUCAAAAACUAGAAGCCCUAGAGCUUAGAUAUUUAGUGUGAAGCAUUGCCUAGUGGACCUCUACCAAGUUUGUUCAAAUUAUGACCCCCGGGGUCAAAAUUGACCCCGCCCCAGGGGUCACUUGAUUUUACAUAGGAAAAUCUUUAAAAAUCUUCUCAAAAACCAGAAGGCCUAGAGCUUAGAUAUUUGACAUGUAGCAUUGCCUAGUGGACCUCUACUAAAGUUGUUCAAAUCAUGACUCUGGGGUUAAAAUUGACCCCGCCCCAGGGGUCACUUGAUUUUACAUAGGAAAAUUUUCAAAAAAUUUCUAAAAAUAAACCAGAAGGCCUAGAUCUUAGAUAUUUGACAUGUAGCAUUGCCUAGUAGACUUCUACAAAAUUUGUUCAAAUCAUGACCCCCAGGGUCAAACUGACCCCGUACCGUGGGGUUACUUGAUUGUACAUAGAAAACUCUUCAAAAUUUUUUAAAAAUAAACCAGAAGGGCUAGAGCUUAGAUAUUUGACAUGUAGCAUUGCCUAGUGGACCUCUACAAAAGUUGUUCAAAUCUUGACCCCUUAGGGUCAAAUUGACCCAGCCCUAGGGGUUACUUGAUUGUACAUAGGGAAAUCUUCAUAAAUUUGCUAAAAAUAAACCAGAAGGCUUAGGUACUUGAUAUGUAACAUUGCCUAGUAGACUUCUACACACUUUGUACAAAUCAUGACCCCCGGAGUAAAGUUGGCCCCGCCCCAGGGGUUACUUGAUUGUACAUCGGAAAAUCUUCCAAAAAAUUUCUAAAAAUCAUCAGUUUGACAUUUGAAACAUGUAGCUCAUAUUACUCAGGUGAGCGAUCCAGGGUCAUCAUGACCCUCUUGUUAAAGAUACAGACUUAAAAUUUGGAUGACAUGUAUAAUUUUGCACACUUACCUUAAAACUGACGUUCAGUGAACAUGAAUAUAACCUACUGAUCUACUUAUUUUUGUUUUUGAUGCUUUAGCAAAGAAAUUUGUACAAGGAAGCAACUUAACUUAGGUGAGCGCGAUAUAGGGCCAUCAUGGCUCUCUUGUUUAUUAAUUACCUCCCUUUAAUAUGAUAAACUAUUUUAUUAUAUUUGUAUUUAUUUUUCCAUGCCAGUUUAAGAAUAAAAUCACAUUAAAUCUUAAAAUGAAAAAAAAAAAACAUUUGAAAGCAUUCACCAGACAUUUUUCAAACUACAUUUGUACAUGUACAUAAUGUUUUAUGAAUUAUAUGAUACAUAGUAAUGAUUUAUAUACAUUUUUAGUUUGUUGCCCUAUAAAAUAGAAGAAGAUGUAGUAUGUUUUGUGAAAAACGUCCCUUGUUGGGGGACGUUGGUAACUCUGUUACAAAAUUUCGUUUUACAUUAGUAUUGACGACAUAUGUUAUGCUGUUAUGUAAAUCUGUAGAUACUUGUUUAUUUUGUACUUCCUUUUGUGUGUUACUCGGAGUUUCUUUUCUUGAAUUGUUCCAUAUUUCUGUAAAGCUUUAAUUCACAUGCUUUCUGUGUAAAACUUUGUUACUUAAUGUAAUUAUAAUACAUAAAUUGUACCUAAAUGUAAUUGUUAAACAUACUCAUUAUUGAAUGUAAACAAAUCACAAUGGUUUCGUUUGUAAAGAAAAAUCAAAAUAAAGAUGGAAAUAUCAAUA
Molecule: long non-coding RNA, 16062 nt
Organism: Mercenaria mercenaria
Lineage: Eukaryota; Metazoa; Mollusca; Bivalvia; Venerida; Veneridae
Exons: 2
Source: RefSeq, a predicted model, not a curated record